This 5153-nucleotide long non-coding RNA is filed under the name Papio anubis (olive baboon). Its description in RNAcentral is "lncRNA (ENSPANG00000041073.1)". Lineage: Eukaryota; Metazoa; Chordata; Mammalia; Primates; Cercopithecidae. The record is from RNAcentral.
UUAGAAGCGGCGGUGGCCCUCUUGCAGCAACAUUUAGCAGCAUGUGGUUGGGGCAUCCGUGAAUCCAAGGUCCAAGGGCCAGGAUUAUCUGCCAGAUCCUUGGAAGUUAUCUGGUCAGGUAAGACAAAGGCCAUACCAGAAGCCAUCAUUGACAAAAUCCCCGGCCCACCACAGUGAGACAGCUGCAAACUUUUGUGAGCCUCCUGGGAUAUUGGUGGACAUUUGUGCCCCAUUUAGCUCAAAUGAUAAAACCAUUGCGUCAGUUAACAAAGGAGGGAGCUACCUGGGGUUGGGUUGAUGUGGCUGAGACCACCUUCCUGGCAGCCAAGCAGUCUGUUCAGCAGGCACAAGCAGGUCCAGGUAGGUUUGGGCAAAGCAAAGGGAGUGGGUUUGGGCCUUUACAGUGGCUGAGAAGUGGGACUGGGAAAAGUUCCUGCAUGUCGACAAUUUAAAUAUUCAGUGGUACCAAAGGAGGAGAUGAGGUCAUGGGCCUUCUUAUCAGCCUGCCCAGAUGUGGGGCCCAAAAGGAAGAGAGGGCAAGGCCUGAAAGGAAUUAUCAAUCCAACAUAAAAAACGAAGUGUGACUCUCCAUUACAAUCAAUUAUAAAGGGGAUAAGAAAUAAAUAUCACAGAAAACCACUUUAAAAUAGCAAAUCUCUACCAUAGCAAAUUGUUACUAAUAUAUGAAUGAAUCAACAAAGGCACAAGUAUACGAUAACCCCGGAGACUGGUAGAGGGGUAGCCAGCACUUUCAUACCUUUGGCCUGAGGGAUUUACUGUCCCGUAAAGAAGACUGAAGAUGUGAAUGACUCUCCACUAGGGCUUUUGAAAUACUCAAGGUGAGAAAUGGUGUUGGCCUGAACCAAGUAGUUUUGGAUAUGGAGGAAGGUAGGUUUCAUUCAUUCAUCACCCUAACUGAGUGCUUAUGUGUGCCAGCCCUGUCCUAGGGGACCUGUGACACACACUGAAUAAGAGAGAAACAGGUCCAUUUUUCCAGGGUACUCAGUCAGGCAAACAACUAUAAUGGUAUUAUAUAUUAUAUAAUAUGACUAAGUGUUUUUCUUGGAGAAGUACAGGAGUGUGAAAACCCAUACCCAGGAUGAUGGCAAAGGAAAUAAGGAGGGAGAGAAGUGGUAGUAGAGAGAACUCAACAAGGAGAUAGAAGUAAUAGAAUUUGGUAGAGGAUUAAAUGUGGGAGGGGAAGACUGACAAGGGCAUCUGUGUGGAGGGAGGUACCGUUCUUUGAAGUAGGUAAUACCCAAGGAGAAGAAGACUAGUGGGGAAGGUGUGGAUUUAAUUUUGGAUACGCUGUAUUUGAGAUGCCUGUAGGACAGUCCAUUUGAAAUGCCCCCGAAUCUUCUGCAGAGAGAGACCUGGACUAGCAAUACGGUCCUGGGGGUGAGAAGAAAGGCUGUUGCAAUUUGAGUCCCUGGCUGGCUAUCAGGUUAUCCAGGGAGGGAGUGCAAGGCAUGACAAUGGCCCUGGACAGCACACUGAGGAACGUCAAGGCUAGAGACUGGCGCAGAAAGGAACCUCUGCUGGGCAAAGGCUCCCGGCCCAGAUUUUAAGCACUGGCAUAGGUCGUUUACUGAGAUGGCCUCAGCAGCACAGGAGGAGGCCAGAGUCAGGAAGGAGCAAUCUAAGAGCUCACACUUGUGGGUUGUCCCUGUGGAAUCUCAGAAGUAUUGGGACAUUAGUGGCUACCAGGCUUUUGAAGGAGGCCUGGGCUACCAGCUUUUAUCCUUAGUGGGAGCAAGAUCAGAGAACUACUGGGUAAUGUGACCCCAUGAGCUCACUGUGCUGCAGUUCAAGGACCCCAGGGUUAUCUUUGUGAUUUGUGUCUUCUACCCUGCACAGAUGGCUUCGGUCUCGCUGAGAUCAAGAGGAACCAUUCUGUGUUUGUGGAGAAGUCAGUGACAGACAUGGAUUAAAGGUAUUUGUUUGCAUCUACUUACCUUGGUUGGCAGCAGAUUACGACCACCUGACUGCUAGACAGGUGUGGAGCCAAGGGGCAAGGAUGCCCGUUGACAUGGUGAUCAUUCACCUGAUUGGAAGUGAGGUGCCGAAGUGUGUCUGAGUUCUAGUGGAGAAACCACUCCUGGAGAACUGGAGAUGGAUGGGCUUUGGGGCAGAGCAGAUCUGGUAUUGCAAGCUGUGAUUGUUUCCUACUAGCUCUGUGAGAUUGAGGAAAUGACCUCUGAGUUUCUAUUCCCUUGUCCUCAGAAAAAUGAGAAUUAUUCAUGUGAAUAAAGACAAAUGCAGAUAUGAGUGACUGGCAUAACUAAGGGGCACAGGAAGACAGCCUGCACUUCCAGUAUGCAUUUCAUGCCAUGUCUUUACCUCCUGUGGCAUACUUGAGUCUGAGAUUUCUUUGAGCCUAGAAUUUGAGUGCUGAUUGGAACUUGAAUUCUUCUGUUCAGACUCAGGUCCUGGAGGGAGGACAUGUGAAAUGUGCUUUAAACCCUGUUGAAUUUCUAGCAACUUGAAUUUGAAUGGAUUCUCUGAGUUUAAAAAAUAUUCUACCAUACUUUGUUUCUGCCUCCCCAAAAGAAGUGUUUAGGUUUUUAUCCAAUGCUUUAAGGCUCUCCGAGGACAGCAUCGUGGAGGAGGAAGAACACUGGCUUUGAAUCCUGGCUCUGUCACUUUCUUACGCUGUGGCCGUGGCUGAGACCUUUCUUGAGUGUGUUUUGUCGCCUGCAAAAUGGGCAAAAGCAGGGCAGGUUUCAGGUUUUGUGGGGCCUGAAGCCUAUACAAUUUGGGGCCCUCUUUAAGAGAAAGAACACAAAAUUAUGAAUAUAAACUUAGGUACAAAACUUACCUUUAGAAUAAGAAAAUAAGUCAACAUAAAUUAUAAAUUUAAAAAAUGCCACAAAUACUAUAUAAUUUAGAAAAAUAGUUUACUUAAAUUAUUUAACUACCUGACAGAUCUCUACGAUGCUUUCCCCCCUUGCCUCUUUUGGCUGAUUACUCUCUGAUUAUCUUUUCAUGGGACCAUAAUUUUGUAAUAUCCUUGUCUAUAGAGAGUAUAGAAGGAUACUCUAUUCUUCUUGCAUGCUGAUCAAAGUUUGUAUUAUUGUGAGGUUUUUUUUAAGCUUUAUUAAUUAUUGUGUAAUUUUUUUUUUUUUUUGAGACUGAGUUUCACUUUGUCGCCCAGACAGGAGUGCAGUGGUACAAUCUUGGCUCACUGCAACCUCCACCUCCCAGGUUCAAGCGAUUCUCAUGCCUCAGCCUCCCGAGUAGCUGGGAUUACAGGCCUGCCACCAUGCCCAGCUAAUUUUUGUGUUUUUAGUAGAGACAGGGUUUCCCCAUGUUGGCCAGGCUGGUCUCAAACUCCUUACCUCAAGUGAUCCGCCUGCCUUGGACUCCCAAAGUGUUGGGAUUACAGGCAUGAGCCACCGCACCUGCUGUAAAUUUUUAGAAUUGUCUAUUUUGGAAAACGUUCUAUCGUUUUUUAUAUGUAGUAAGACAUGAAGUAUUCUUGUAUAGUACUUGUAUUAAACACUCUCUGAAAUGACAAUAUUCUUCGAUGAGCUUGUUAUGAGUGUCCUAUAUUGUCAUUGUCAAAGUGUCAAUUAGCAGAAAAUGUUCUAAUGCAUUCUUGUGAUUCCCUCCUCCUCAUUAAUUGGAUUAUCAGAUAAUCCAGAAGCCUGUCUAUUACUUCUGUUGGGAAUUUAUCUCAUUCUUUGAGAUAAAUUAACUAUAUUUGUCUAUGAUCUGAAUUUUGCUUUUGUUAUAAUUGUAUCUCAAUGUCAGAAUAAUUUCUGUUGAUUCCAUAGCUCAUUUAUUUUAUUAAUUUAUUUGAAUAUUCUCCCAGUCCCUUAAUAAAUCAGUAAUCUGCAUUGAUCCUACUACCUAAGGGAGUUGUUGGAAUGAACAGGCUUUGUAAAUGUCAAAGGUUAUGUCUUCCUAAUUGAUACUAUUCUCUCCUAUGCCCCUCUCCUGCCACUCAGCCCACCCCAGGACUCUGCAGAGUGUGUCUCCCAUUGUAAGUAUACACGGAAGGAUCUAUGAGUUGAGUUCUUGGUUCCCUUGCUAAAAGCCAGGAGGAAAGAAAAGGAAGGAAGCAGAGUAAUAAUUCUUUUUGGUUAUUGUACGUUUACAUCAUGUUUCACUCUAACAUAAACACGAUGACGUAUAACACACAACUUUAUAUAAAAGCCUGUUUUAGAAAAAAUAAUCCCAGAAUUUCCUAAUUUCUGAUAAGGAGUAUUUGACCAGGGCUUCAGGAAUGUACUCUGUUUUGGCAGCCUGGGCCAUAGGCACCAAAUGGAGGCUACUGCUGGUUCCUAGCCCUUCCCCAUAUUCAUUAAUCCUCAGAAUGUGUCCCUGAUAGGACACCUGGGCUGUGCAGGCAUAGCUCACCCCACAUUUUAUCUGACUGUUAUCUCCUCCUGCCAAUGCUCCCAUUCCCUGAAAUCUCUUCAAGAAUACCUGAAGGGCAGGCUCUCUGCACAGCACCAACACUUCUGCAGCUUGGAUGUAAAUGUCAAAUCCAAAGCAAUCUACCUUUAAAGAAAUAUUUUCCUAUUUGAAACUCACCCCUCCCAUGAAGGAAAUUAAUUGCACUUGAUAAUUCUCUUAAAAUGAGUAAUGGAGUAGGUAUAGCCUUAAAAAUGUGCUGUUGGCAUUUUUGUUUGUUUUUCUAAGUGCAGUUAAUUAAAUUCUGGUGAUUCCAGUGGGCUGUCUGCAGAACACAGAGUUAUUACUUUCCCCUGAAUGUCUCCCUGAUUUCCCAGGCAGAGUUAGGAGCUUCUUCCUUUUUCUCUGGCCACCCCCUGCAAUGCUGUGUGUUCCCUCCCAUCAUAAGACUCAUCCUGUUAUUAUUAUUAACCUACUUCUCUGCUUCCUGUACUAAAUGUCAGUGCCUUGAGGAUAAGAACUAUGAUUUUUUUUUUUUGUCAUUAAUCAGGUCUCACUACCUGCUAAUAGAAUCUUCCUACCUUGAAUUUCCCUUGUAGUGGGUCCCUGGCAUUUUCUGAACACAGAUGGCUAUGGGCGUCCUUUGUAGACUUCCUUGGAAGCUCACCUGUGCCCAGGUAGACCAUCCCUAGUGUAGGCACAUUUUAUCCUGCCACCACAAAUCUAGGUCAUGCCUGCUUAUCCCUUCUGGCCUGGAUAACAGUGGCCUUGACAUAUUGGAUGGAGCCCUUUGA